AUACGGAGGGGGUUAGCGUUGUUCGGAAUUACUGGGCGUAAAGCGCACGUAGGCGGACUGGAAAGUUGGGGGUGAAAUCCCGGGGCUCAACCCCGGAACUGCCUCCAAAACUUCCAAUCUAGAGAUCGAGAGAGGUGAGUGGAAUUCCAAGUGUAGAGGUGAAAUUCGUAGAUAUUUGGAGGAACACCAGUGGCGAAGGCGGCUCACUGGCUCGAUCCUGACGCUGAGGUGCGAAAGCGUGGGGAGCAAACAGGAUUAGAAACCCUAGUAGUCC
This 274-nucleotide ribosomal RNA is filed under the name uncultured bacterium. RNAcentral's name for it is "partial 16S ribosomal RNA". It matches the Rfam family "Bacterial small subunit ribosomal RNA", at positions 523 to 796 of the family's 1533-position model. The record is from RNAcentral.